Molecule: ribosomal RNA, 365 nt
Filed under: uncultured eukaryote
Lineage: Eukaryota
Description: partial 18S ribosomal RNA
Rfam family: Eukaryotic small subunit ribosomal RNA
Source: RNAcentral
CAAUAGCGUAUAUUUAAGUUGUUGCAGUUAAAAAGCUCGUAGUCGGAUUGUGGCUGAGAACGAUCGGUCCGCCGUUAGGUGUGCACUGAUUGGUCUCAGCUUCCUGGUGAGGAGGUGUGCUUCACGGCCACUUAGUCACCGUGGUUACUUUGAAAAAAUUAGAGUGUUCAAAGCGGGCUUACGCUUGAAUAUAUUAGCAUGGAAUAACACCAUAGGACUCCUGUCCUAUUUCGUUGGUCUCGGGACGGGAGUAAUGAUUAAGAGGAACAGUUGGGGGCAUUCGUAUUUCAUUGUCAGAGGUGAAAUUCUUGGAUUUAUGAAAGACGAACUUCUGCGAAAGCAUUUGCCAAGGAUGUUUUCAUUGA